Molecule: ribosomal RNA, 254 nt
Filed under: uncultured prokaryote
Description: partial 16S ribosomal RNA
Rfam family: Bacterial small subunit ribosomal RNA
Source: RNAcentral
UACGGAGGAUGCAAGCGUUAUCCGGAUUCAUUGGGUUUAAAGGGUGCGUAGGCGGACUAUUAAGUCAGUGGUGAAAGCCUGCAGCUUAACUGCAGAACUGCCGUUGAUACUGAUAGUCUUGAGUUUGGUUAAGGUAGGCGGAAUGUGUAAUGUAGCGGUGAAAUGCUUAGAUAUUACACAGAACACCAAUUGCGUAGGCAGCUUACUGAGCCGACACUGACGCUGAGGCACGAAAGCGUGGGGAUCGAACAGGA